CGGGCGGGGCAGGCCUUAUACAUGCAGUCGAGCGGACUGAUGGGAGCUUGCUCCCUGAAAUCAGCGGCGGACGGGUGAGUAACACGUGGGUAACCUGCCUGUAAGACUGGGAUAACUCCGGGAAACCGGGGCUAAUACCGGAUAGUUCUUUCCCCCGCAUGGGGGAGAGUGGAAAGGCGGCUUCGGCUGCCACUUACAGAUGGACCCGCGGCGCAUUAGCUAGUUGGUGAGGUAACGGCUCACCAAGGCGACGAUGCGUAGCCGACCUGAGAGGGUGAUCGGCCACACUGGGACUGAGACACGGCCCAGACUCCUACGGGAGGCAGCAGUAGGGAAUCUUCCGCAAUGGACGAAAGUCUGAGGGAGCAACGCCGCGUGAGUGAUGAAGGUUUUCGGAUCGUAAAGCUCUGUUGUUAGGGAAGAACAAGUGCCGUUCGAAUAGGGCGGCACCUUGACGGUACCUAACCAGAAAGCCACGGCUAACUACGUGCCAGCAGCCGCGGUAAUACGUAGGUGGCAAGCGUUGUCCGGAAUUAUUGGGCGUAAAGCGCGCGCAGGCGGUCUCUUAAGUCUGAUGUGAAAGCCCACGGCUCAACCGUGGAGGGUCAUUGGAAACUGGGGGACUUGAGUACAGAAGAGGAAAGUGGAAUUCCACGUGUAGCGGUGAAAUGCGUAGAUAUGUGGAGGAACACCAGUGGCGAAGGCGACUUUCUGGUCUGUAACUGACGCUGAGGCGCGAAAGCGUGGGGGAGCAAACAGGAUUAGAUACCCUGGUAGUCCACGCCGUUAAACGAUGAGUGCUAAGUGUUAGAGGGUUUCCGCCCUUUUAGUGCUGCAGCUAACGCAUUAAGCACUCCGCCUGGGAGUACGGUCGCAAGACUGAACUCAAAGGAAUUUGACGGGGGCCCGCACAAGCGGUGGAGCAUGUGGUUUAAUUCCGAAGCAUCGCGGAAGAACCUUUACCAGGUCUUGACAUCCUCUGACAUCCUAGAGAUAAGGCUUUUCCCCUUCGGGGAACAGAGUGACAGGUGGUUGCAUGUUGUCGUCAGCUCGUGUUCGUGAAGAUUGUUGGGGUUUAAGUUCCCGCAACCGAGGCGCAACCUGAUCUUAGUUGCAGCAUUCAGUGUGCACCUCUAGAGUUGACUCGUCCCGGGUGUACA
Molecule: ribosomal RNA, 1160 nt
Filed under: Bacillus sp. (in: firmicutes)
Lineage: Bacteria; Bacillati; Bacillota; Bacilli; Caryophanales; Bacillaceae
Description: bacterial SSU rRNA
Rfam family: Bacterial small subunit ribosomal RNA
Source: RNAcentral